Molecule: ribosomal RNA, 229 nt
Filed under: uncultured bacterium
Lineage: Bacteria
Description: partial 16S ribosomal RNA
Rfam family: Bacterial small subunit ribosomal RNA
Source: RNAcentral
UGCGCAGGCGGAAUAUUAAGUCAGUGGUGAAAGCCUACAGCUCAACUGUAGAACUGCCAUUGAAACUGAUAUUCUUGAGUAUAGUUGUAGUGGGCGGAAUAUAUCAUGUAGCGGUGAAAUGCUUAGAUAUGAUAUAGAACACCGAUCGCGAAGGCAGCUCACUAAGCUAUAACUGACGCUCAGGCACGAAAGCGUGGGGAGCAAACAGGAUUAGAUACCCUGGUAGUCC